This 1202-nucleotide ribosomal RNA is filed under the name metagenome. RNAcentral's name for it is "bacterial SSU rRNA". It matches the Rfam family "Bacterial small subunit ribosomal RNA", at positions 267 to 1459 of the family's 1533-position model. The record is from RNAcentral.
ACCAAGGCGAUGAUGGGUAGCCGGCCUGAGAGGGUGUACGGUCACACUGGGACUGAGACACGGCCCAGACUCCUACGGGAGGCAGCAGCUAAGAAUAUUCCAAUGGGCGCAAGCCUGACGGAGCGACGCCGCGUGGACGAUGAAGGCCGAGAGGUUGUAAAGUCCUUUUGCAGAUGAAGAAUAAGGCGAGGAGUGGAACGUCUUGCUGAUGACGUUAGUCUGCGAAUAAGCCCCGGCCAAUUACGUGCCAGCAGCCGCGGUAAUACGUAAGGGGCGAGCGUUGUUCGGAUUUAUUGGGCGUAAAGGGCGUGUAGGCGGUUUAGUAAGCCUGGUGUUAAAGGCCUUGGCUCAACCAAGGUUUGGCGCCGGGAACUGUUAGACUAGAGUUCAGGAGGGGGAGCUGGAAUUCCAGGUGUAGGGGUGAAAUCUGUAGAUAUCUGGAAGAACACCGGUGGCGAAGGCGAGCUCCUAGCCAUGGACUGACGCUGAGGCGCGAAAGCGUGGGGAGCGAACAGGAUUAGAUACCCUGGUAGUCCACGCUGUAAACGAUGUGCACUAGGCGUUGGGUAUGCAAGAUACUCAGUGCCGAAGCUAACGCGAUAAGUGCACCGCCUGGGGAGUAUGCCCACAAGGGUGAAACUCAAAGGAAUUGACGGGGGCCCGCACAAGCGGUGGAGCAUGUGGUUUAAUUCGAUGGUACGCGAGGAACCUUACCAGGGCUUGACAUGUACCUGGAUGUCCAAGAGAUUGGGCAGCCUCUUUUUGAGGCGGGUACACAGGUGCUGCAUGGCUGUCGUCAGCUCGUGUUGUGAGAUGUUGGGUUAAGUCCCGCAACGAGCGCAACCCUUACUGUCUGUUGCUAACAGGUAAGCUGAGGACUCAGACAGAACUGCCGGUGACAAACCGGAGGAAGGUGGGGAUGAGGUCAAGUCAUCAUGGCCCUUAUGUCCUGGGCUACACACGUGCUACAAUGGUCGGUACAGAGCGUAGCGACACGGCGACGUGGAGCCAAUCGCAAAAAGCCGAUCUCAGUUCGGAUUGAAGUCUGAAACUCGACUUCAUGAAGGUGGAAUCGCUAGUAAUCGCGCAUCAGCAUGGCGCGGUGAAUACGUUCCCGGGCCUUGUACACACCGCCCGUCACACCACCCGAGUUGAGGGUACCCGAAGUCGCUAGUCUAACCGGGAACGGGGGACGGUGCCGA